GAUGAACGCUGUCGGCGUGCCUAAUACAUUCAAGUCGAGCGAACAGAUCAGGAGCUUUCUCCUUUUAAUUUAGCGGCGGACGUGUGAGUAACACUUGGGUAACCUACCUAUAAGACUGGGAUAACUUCGGGAAACCGGAGCUCAUACCGGAUAACAUUUAGAACCGCAUGGUUCUAAAGUGAAAGAUGUUUUUGCUAUCACUUAUAGAUGGACCCGCGCCGUAUUAGCUAGUUGGUAGGGUAACGGCUUACCAAGGCGACGAUACGUAGCCGACCUAAUAGGGUGAUCAGGCACCCUGGAACUGAGAAACCGCCCAGAAUACUACGGGAGGCACAAGAAGCAAAUCUGCGGAAAUGAGCGAAAGCCUGACGGAGGAACGCAGCGUGAGCGAUGAAGGGUUUCGGCACGGAAAACAGAGUUAUUAAGGAAGAACAGAUGAGAAAGUAACUGUGUAGAUUUGGACGGGACAUAAUCAGAAAGCCACGGCUAACUACGGG
This 497-nucleotide ribosomal RNA is filed under the name uncultured bacterium. RNAcentral describes it as "partial 16S ribosomal RNA". It matches the Rfam family "Bacterial small subunit ribosomal RNA", at positions 28 to 507 of the family's 1533-position model. The record is from RNAcentral.